RNAcentral lists this small nucleolar RNA (209 nucleotides) under Sorex araneus (European shrew). Its description in RNAcentral is "Small nucleolar RNA U3 (ENSSARG00000016711.1)". It matches the Rfam family "Small nucleolar RNA U3". From Rfam's summary of the family: Small nucleolar RNAs (snoRNAs) are involved in the processing and modification of rRNA in the nucleolus. There are two main classes of snoRNAs: the box C/D class, and the box H/ACA class. U3 snoRNA is a member of the box C/D class. The record is from RNAcentral. Lineage: Eukaryota; Metazoa; Chordata; Mammalia; Eulipotyphla; Soricidae.
AAGACAUAGUUUCAGGCAUGAUUUCUAUAGCUCGUUACAAGAGAAGUUUCUCUUAUUGUGUACAGCACUGGAAACCACAAGGAAGAGCCAGAGCAUCCUCUCCUGAGCGUGCAGACAGUUCCAGGUGUUGCUUCUGCAACUGCCUUUCACCACUGAUGAUCCUUCUUUUCCUUUGGAAGAGGGAGAGAGGAUGGAUGUAGUCUGAGUGG